AGAGUUUGAUCAUGGCUCAGGACGAACGCUGGCGGCGCGCCUAAUCCAUGCAAGUCGAGCGACGCAUGCCUUAGCCCGUAAGGGCGGGUGUGACGGAGCGGCGAACGGGUGCGUAACACGUGACCAAUCUGCCCCGAAGACCGGGAUAGCCCGGGGAAACCCGGAUUAAUACCGGAUGAUCUCACCAUCACGCAUGUGGAGGUGAGCAAAGGUUCAGGCGCUUCGGGAUGAGGUCGCGGCCCAUCAGCUUGUUGGUGAGGUAACGGCUCACCAAGGCAAUGACGGGUAGCUGGUCUGAGAGGACGAUCAGCCACACUGGAACUGAGAUACGGUCCAGACUCCUACGGGAGGCAGCAGGAGGGAAUCUUGCGCAAUGGGCGAAAGCCUGACGCAGCGACGCCGCGUGGGGGAUGAGUGCCUUAGGGUUGUAAACCCCUUUCACGAGGGAAGAAACUGACGGUACCUCGAGAAGAAGCCCCGGCCAACUACGUGCCAGCAGCCGCGGUAAUACGUAGGGGGCGAGCGUUGUCCGGAUUUAUUGGGCGUAAAGGGCUCGUAGGCGGCUUGGCAAGUCGGCCGUGAAAACCCAGGGCUCAACUCUGGGACGCCGGUCGAUACUGCCAUGGCUAGGGUCCGGUAGAA
RNAcentral lists this ribosomal RNA (642 nucleotides) under uncultured Actinomycetes bacterium. RNAcentral's name for it is "bacterial SSU rRNA". It matches the Rfam family "Bacterial small subunit ribosomal RNA", at positions 8 to 656 of the family's 1533-position model. The record is from RNAcentral. Lineage: Bacteria; Bacillati; Actinomycetota; Actinomycetes.